RNAcentral lists this ribosomal RNA (522 nucleotides) under Fusarium sp. RNAcentral's name for it is "eukaryotic LSU rRNA". The stretch from base 172 to 325 matches the Rfam family "5.8S ribosomal RNA". The record is from RNAcentral. Lineage: Eukaryota; Fungi; Ascomycota; Sordariomycetes; Hypocreales; Nectriaceae.
GGUGACCAGCGGAGGGAUCAUUACCGAGUUUACAACUCCCAAACCCCUGUGAACAUACCACUUGUUGCCUCGGCGGAUCAGCCCGCUCCCGGUAAAACGGGACGGCCCGCCAGAGGACCCCUAAACUCUGUUUCUAUAUGUAACUUCUGAGUAAAACCAUAAAUAAAUCAAAACUUUCAACAACGGAUCUCUUGGUUCUGGCAUCGAUGAAGAACGCAGCAAAAUGCGAUAAGUAAUGUGAAUUGCAGAAUUCAGUGAAUCAUCGAAUCUUUGAACGCACAUUGCGCCCGCCAGUAUUCUGGCGGGCAUGCCUGUUCGAGCGUCAUUUCAACCCUCAAGCACAGCUUGGUGUUGGGACUCGCGUUAAUUCGCGUUCCUCAAAUUGAUUGGCGGUCACGUCGAGCUUCCAUAGCGUAGUAGUAAAACCCUCGUUACUGGUAAUCGUCGCGGCCACGCCGUUAAACCCCAACUUCUGAAUGUUGACCUCGGAUCAGGUAGGAAUACCCGCUGAACUUAAGCAUA